CAAACGAACUCCAAUUCAGGCAAUUAUACGAACCAUAAUGCAUGAAAUGAAACUGCGUCGUAAAUUAGAAAAGAUGAAAAUCAUUUUUUAAAUGAAAAACUCAACUAGUUUUUUUAACAUGCAUCCUGACGUUUUCGUACUGUAAUUAUAUGAAACUUCUGUACAGACUGCGACUGCUUGCAACAACUACAUCAUUCAUAAUGCUUCUAACAUUUACAUAAUCAAUUGAUUCAGUAUAUAACAGAUACAGUUGCCAUCUAACAACUUCCAUGCAUCAUAUUCAUAUUGUCUUCACUGAACUAUUCUUGCAGGAAUCAAACUAACAGAAGACAAAUUCCAUUGGCAAGGAUAAAACACCAGGUGAUUCCAGUACUCCAAUGGUUAUGUGAAGAUGGAUUAUCAAGAGCUCCCGGUCAAGUAGCAAUUGCUCCUACCCGAGCUCCCAAUAACACAAGGCACAUCACGAACGAGAAACUUCAUUGUGUGACCGCCAACAAAAUCCAAAAUUUCAAGACAUUCCUGCAAGUCGAAGUCGUUUACCAACAUCACCCAUUCCUCUUCAUCAUCAAGAUACUCGAGUCGGAAUUGUUGGAAUAUAGUGGUUUUAAC
This 609-nucleotide long non-coding RNA is filed under the name Olea europaea subsp. europaea. The record is from RNAcentral. Lineage: Eukaryota; Viridiplantae; Streptophyta; Magnoliopsida; Lamiales; Oleaceae.